RNAcentral lists this transfer RNA (74 nucleotides) under Merluccius polli (Benguela hake). It matches the Rfam family "tRNA". From Rfam's summary of the family: Transfer RNA (tRNA) molecules are approximately 80 nucleotides in length. Their secondary structure includes four short double-helical elements and three loops (D, anti-codon, and T loops). Lineage: Eukaryota; Metazoa; Chordata; Actinopteri; Gadiformes; Merlucciidae. The record is from Rfam by way of RNAcentral.
GUUUCUGUAGUGUAGUGGUUAUCACGUUUGCCUCACACGCGAAAGGUCCCCGGUUCGAAACCGGGGCAGAAACA